AUGGUCUAUCAAGGCCUGUCCCAUGUCUGCCUAUUGUGGCUAUCAGUGUCUGGCCUAUCGUGGCUAUUUCUGUACGGUCUAUCGAGACCUGUCCGUGUCCGGCUAUCAUGGCUAUUUUUCUGUACGGUCUAUCAAGGCCUGUCCCAUGUCUGCAUAUUGUGGCUAUCUGUGUCUGGCCUAUUGUGGCUAUUUCUGUACGGUCUAUCGAGACCUGUCCGUGUCCGGCUAUCAUGGCUAUUUUUCUGUAUGGUCUAUCAAGGCCUGCCCCAUGUCUGCAUAUUGUGGCUAUCUGUGUCUGGCCUAUCGUGGCUAUUUCUGUACGGUCUAUCGAGACCUGUCCGCGUCCGGCUAUCAUGGCUAUUUUUCUGUACGGUCUAUCAAGGCCUGUCCCAUGUCUGCAUAUUGUGGCUAUCUGUGUCUGGCCUAUCGUGGCUAUUUCUGUACGGUCUAUCGAGACCUGUCCGUGUCCGGCUAUCAUGGCUAUUUUUCUGUAUGGUCUAUCAAGGCCUGUCCCAUGUCUGCCUAUUGUGGCUGUCUGUGUCUGCCUAUAGUGGCUAUUUCUGUACGGUCUAUCGAGACCUGUCCGUGUCCGGCUAUCAUGGCUAUUUUCUGUAUGGUCUAUCAAGGCCUGUCCCAUGUCUGCCUAUUGUGGCUAUCUGUGUCUGGCCUAUCCUGGCUAUUUCUGUACGGUCUAUCGAGGCCUAUCUGUGUCUGGCUAUAAUGGCUAUUUCUGUACGGCCUAUCGAGGCCUGUCUGUGUCUGCCUAUCGUGGCUGUCUGUGUCUGGCCUAUCGUGGCUAUUUCUGUACGGCCUAUCAAGGCCUGUCCGUGUCCGGCCAUCAUGGCUAUUUUUCUGUAUGGUCUAUUGAGGCCUGUCCUGUGUCUGCCUAUUGUGGCGAUUUCUGUACGGCCUAUUGAGGCCUGUCUGCGUCUGCCAUUGUGGCUGUCUGCGUCUGGCCUAUCGUGGCUAUUUAUGUACGGCCUAUCGAGGUCUGUCUGCGUCUGCCUAUCGUGGCUAAUCAUGGUCUAUCGAGGCCUGUCUUGCGUCUGCCUAUCGUGGCUGUCUGCGUCUGGCCUAUUGUGGCUAUUUAUGUACGGUCUAUCGAGGCCUGUCUGUGUUGGCUAUCAUGGCUAUUUCUGUAAGGUCCAUCGAGGCCUGUCCGUGUCCGCCUAUCGUGGCUGUCUGCGUCUGGCCUAUUGUGGCUAUUUCCGUUGGUCUAUCGAGGCCUGUCCGUGUCUGGCUAUCAUGGCUAUUUUUCUGUAUGGUCUAUCAAGGCCUAUCUGUGUCUGGCCAUCAUGGCUAUUUCUGUACGGUCUAUCAAGGCCUGUCUGCGUCUGCCUACUGUGGCUGUCUGUGUCUGGCCUAUCGUGGCUAUUUAUGUAUGGUCUAUCGAGGCCUGUCUUUGUCUGGCUAUCAUGGCUAUUUUUCUGUACGGUCUAUCGAGGCUGUCUGUGUUCUGCCUAUCAUGGCUAUUCUGUAUGGUCUAUCGAGGCCUGUCUGCGUCUGCCUAUCGUGGCUGUCUGCGUCUGGCCUAUCGUGGCUAUUUCUGUUGGUCUAUCGGGGCCUGUCUGUGUCUGCCUAUCGUGGCUGUCUGCGUCUGGCCUAUCGUGGCUAUUUAUGUACGGUCUAUUGGGGCCUGUCUGUGUCUGCCUAUUGUGGCUGUCUGCGUCUGGCCUAUCGGGCUAUUUAUGUUCGGCCAAUUGGGGCCUGUCCGCGUUUGCCUAUCGUGGCUGUCUGCGUCUGGCCUAUCGUGGCUAUUUAUGUUCGGCCUAUCGAGGCCUGUCUGUGUCUGCCUAUCGUGGCAUUUCUGUUGGUCUAUCGAGGCCUGUCUGUGUCUGCCUAUCGUGGCAUUUCUGUUGGUCUAUCGAGGCCUGUCUGUGUCUGCCUAUCGUGGCAUUUCUGUUGGUCUAUCGAGGCCUGUCUGUGUCUGCCUAUCGUGGCAUUUCUGUUGGUCUAUCGAGGCCUGUCUGUGUCUGCCUAUCGUGGCAUUUCUGUUGGUCUAUCGAGGCCUGUCUGUGUCUGCCUAUCGUGGCAUUUCUGUUGGUCUAUCGAGGCCUGUCUGUGUCUGCCUAUCGUGGCAUUUCUGUUGGUCUAACGAGGCCUGUCCGUGCCUGCCUAUCGUGGCUGUCUGUGUCCUGCCUAUCGUUGCUGUCUGUGUCUGGCCUAUUUCUGUAA
Molecule: long non-coding RNA, 2175 nt
Organism: Carassius auratus (goldfish)
Lineage: Eukaryota; Metazoa; Chordata; Actinopteri; Cypriniformes; Cyprinidae
Source: Ensembl